GUCCGAAACUACCUUCUGCUAGAGUGAAAAUUGAUAAAUUUCAAAUGCUUUCAGCGUUAUUGUCCUGACAACGGAGUGUGAGAAAACAUUUGAAUACUAGCAUUGCCAACACGAUAAAUGAACACACAUGAUCAGCCGGAAGCAGUCGCCGCUGACAGGUGGCGACACACCACUGCGGCUGCAGAGACGGAGCAGAGGUUCGCACCGGCCACGUGGCACGGCGAGGCUGCAGACCGACCGCAUUACCGGAGGCUGCCGCGGCGAGUCGGAGAGAGACUGCCGGUCCGAUACAUGCCGCUGUGCCGGAGCUCACCUUCGACAGUAGUAGGACAGCUCUGAGAAUGGUUGCAGGAGAUGGUCAGGGGAAGAAUAUUGAUGAUCUCCCAGAUGAAAUAAUACUAGAUGUAUUUUCAUUCUUCAGUUUUAAUGAGCUUAUAGACAUCUUGCAAAAUGUGUGUGUGCGAUGGAAGAGAUUGGCACACGACCCGGUGCUCUGGCGUGGCAAAGAGUAUAUCAUCAGAGGAAGGGCACAGAAUGGGAGGAGCUGCUGCGGUGUCACCUGCUCCGAGUGCGCCCACUGCAGGUGUGAGAAGACGGACAGAGAGGUCUUACGGACAGCCGGUAUGAUGCCACAACUCCGGACACUUACGAUGAUGCGCGGUACCAGAGCUCGCAUCUUACGUAAGAUCUGCAGGAACUGUCUGAAUCUCACAACUU
Schistocerca americana (American grasshopper) is the source of this 717-nucleotide long non-coding RNA. RefSeq lists it as uncharacterized. The transcript is spliced from 3 exons. The record is from RefSeq and is a predicted model, not a curated record. Lineage: Eukaryota; Metazoa; Arthropoda; Insecta; Orthoptera; Acrididae.